CAGCAGCCGCGGGAAUACGUAGGUGGCAAGCGUUGUCCGGAAUUAUUGGGCGUAUAGGGCUCGCAGGCGGUUUCUUAAGUCUGAUGUGAAAGCCCCCGGCUCAACCGGGGAGGGUCAUUGGAAACUGGGAAACUUGAGUGCAGAAGAGGAGAGUGGAAUUCCACGUGUAGCGGUGAAAUGCGUAGAGAUGUGGAGGAACACCAGUGGCGAAGGCGACUCUCUGGUCUGUAACUGACGCUGAGGAGCGAAAGCGUGGGGAGCGAACAGGAUUAGAUACCCCCGUAGUCCCUGUCUCUUAUAC
This 301-nucleotide ribosomal RNA is filed under the name uncultured bacterium. Its description in RNAcentral is "partial 16S ribosomal RNA". It matches the Rfam family "Bacterial small subunit ribosomal RNA", at positions 509 to 807 of the family's 1533-position model. The record is from RNAcentral.